RNAcentral lists this transfer-messenger RNA (210 nucleotides) under Campylobacter upsaliensis. RNAcentral's name for it is "partial transfer-messenger RNA". It matches the Rfam family "transfer-messenger RNA", at positions 151 to 374 of the family's 374-position model. From Rfam's summary of the family: Bacterial tmRNA, also known as 10Sa RNA or SsrA, is named for its dual tRNA and mRNA-like properties. Its role is to liberate the mRNA from a stalled ribosome. To accomplish this part of the tmRNA is used as a reading frame that ends in a translation stop signal. Lineage: Bacteria; Pseudomonadati; Campylobacterota; Epsilonproteobacteria; Campylobacterales; Campylobacteraceae. The record is from RNAcentral.
GCUUAGGUCAUACUACCUAGCUUAAGUUUUAGUCAUCUUUGGUAGUGUAGUUUUAAGGCUUGACGCACCUUAAAGCGAAGUUUAGUCUAGUCAAAUUUGUAAGUUUUGGAAGAUGAGCGGAAUUUGAUGAAAAAGUCAUCUUUGCUAAGUAUGUAGAGGUCUUUUUUGGGCUAUUUUUGGACAGGGGUUCAAUUCCCCUCGUCUCCACCA